ACAGGUGCUGCAUGGCUGUCGUCAGCUCGUGUUGUGAAAUGUUGGGUUAAGUCCCGCAACGAGCGCAACCCUUAUCCUUUGUUGCCAGCGGUCCGGCCGGGAACUCAAAGGAGACUGCCAGUGAUAAACUGGAGGAAGGUGGGGAUGACGUCAAGUCAUCAUGGCCCUUACGACCAGGGCUACACACGUGCUACAAUGGCGCAUACAAAGAGAAGCGACCUCGCGAGAGCAAGCGGACCUCAUAAAGUGCGUCGUAGUCCGGAUUGGAGUCUGCAACUCGACUCCAUGAAGUCGGAAUCGCUAGUAAUCGUGGAUCAGAAUGCCACGGUGAAUACGUUCCCGGGCCUUGUACACACCGCCCGUCACACCAUGGGAGUGGGUUGCAAAAGAAGUAGGUAGCUUAACCUUCGGGAGGGCG
Molecule: ribosomal RNA, 418 nt
Filed under: Escherichia coli
Lineage: Bacteria; Pseudomonadati; Pseudomonadota; Gammaproteobacteria; Enterobacterales; Enterobacteriaceae
Description: bacterial SSU rRNA
Rfam family: Bacterial small subunit ribosomal RNA
Source: RNAcentral